GAUGAACGCUGGCGGCGUGCCUAAUACAUGCAAGUCGAGCGAACAGACGAGGAGCUUGCUCCUCUGACGUUAGCGGCGGACGGGUGAGUCACACGUGGAUAACCUACCUAUAAGACUGGGAUAAUUUCGGGAAACCGGAGAUAAUCCCGGAUAAUCUAUUGAAGCGCAUGGUUCAAUAGUGAAAGACGGUUUUGCUGUCACUUAUCGAUGGAUCCGCGCCGCAUUAGGUAGUUGGUACGUACAAGGGCUACCAAGGCAACGAUGCGUAGCCGACCGGAGAGGGGGAUCGGCCACACUGGAACUGAGACACGGACCAUACUCCUACGAGAGGCAGCAGUAUGGAAUCUUCCGCAAUGGGCGAAAGCAUGACGGAGCAACGCCGAGUGAGUGAUGAAGGCCUUCGGAUCGUAAAACUGUGUUUUUAGGGAAGAACAAAUGUGGAAGUAACUAUGCACGUAUUGACGGUACCUAAUCAGAAAGCCACGGCUAACUACGUG
Molecule: ribosomal RNA, 497 nt
Filed under: uncultured bacterium
Lineage: Bacteria
Description: partial 16S ribosomal RNA
Rfam family: Bacterial small subunit ribosomal RNA
Source: RNAcentral